UACGUAGGGUGCGAGCGUUGUCUGGAAUUAUUGGGCGUAAAGAGCUUGUAGGCGGUCUGUCGCGCCUGCUGUGAAAAUCCGGGGCUCAACCCCGGACUUGCAGUGGGUACGGGCAGACUAGAGUGUGGUAGGGGAGACUGGAAUUCCUGGUGUAGCGGUGAAAUGCGCAGAUAUCAGGAGGAACACCGAUGGCGAAGGCAGGUCUCUGGGCCACUACUGACGCUGAGAAGCGAAAGCAUGGGGAGCGAACAGG
Molecule: ribosomal RNA, 253 nt
Filed under: uncultured bacterium
Lineage: Bacteria
Description: partial 16S ribosomal RNA
Rfam family: Bacterial small subunit ribosomal RNA
Source: RNAcentral